UAUUUGAGGACACCAAGAGGUGACCAUCAGCAAGCCCAGGAGAGAGGCCUCAGAAGAAACCAGACCUGCUGAUUCCUUGAUCUUGAACUUCUAGCCUCCGGAACUAUCCAACUUGAAUGCUUCCUGAUUAAAUAUAUACAGGAGUGAUUUCAGAGGAAUUUAAGUUUUGGAUCAUUCUUUUGAGAAAGAAAGAAAAGUACCCUUUUAAAAGAGGUGGCUCUUGAACAACACAGGUUUGAACUGCAUCAUUCCACUUAUACACAGACUUUCUUCUGCCACUGCCACUCCUGAGACAACAUGACCAAUCUCUCCCCUUCCUCCUCCUCAGCGUACUUUCAACAUAAAGACGACGAGGAUAAAGGCAUUUAUGAUGAACUACUUCCACAUAAUGAAUAAUUGAACAAAGGAGAGAAUUGUGAGAGUGAGAAAAAGUGAGACAAAGAAGAAAAACUAUAAAUCAGCAAAAUACAGUGCCAAGAGCUCUGGACCACAAAUCAGAAGACCUGAGCCCUAAUUCCUUUCCAGUCAUUGGAUUUGUUCGUCGCUUGCCAAAAUAGCAGCGAACUCUCUGUCAAACUGCAACUCAUUUUAUCGGAGCAAAAACUGAACAAAGAACUGCUAUCAUUUCUGAGGUCAGAGGCAGUGCAGCUUGUGUUACAACUCAAAAGAGUAAUACUCUGAAAAAAGAAAAAAAAAGAUGGCGCUGAAAAUAAACAUGUUCAGCAGCCAUUGUGAUUCAACUUACCCAGAUGUGCUUUUCAUGAGAUGGAGAAGGACGGAUGGAAAAGAAAAGCACACAAAUGUUAAUGGAUACAGUUCAAUCCAAAGAAAACCAUGGAAUAAAACAAGAGCAUUAUUUAAGAUGUGAGAAAGCU
RNAcentral lists this long non-coding RNA (875 nucleotides) under Homo sapiens (human). Its description in RNAcentral is "PPFIA2 antisense RNA 1". Lineage: Eukaryota; Metazoa; Chordata; Mammalia; Primates; Hominidae. The record is from RNAcentral.